RNAcentral lists this long non-coding RNA (1550 nucleotides) under Homo sapiens (human). RNAcentral describes it as "HSALNT0405860". The record is from RNAcentral. Lineage: Eukaryota; Metazoa; Chordata; Mammalia; Primates; Hominidae.
CUGACUAGAGAACAAACUACCAAUUAACGAGCGAGGAAACAGGGCCAGAGAAUUGGAACAAAAUACAAGGCUGCCUCUGAAAGGAAUAUCUUUGUGCUGAUGUGUCCAUCAAGAGAACAUACACAGAAGUGACACUUGCCAGUAAUUUGCAAGCAGAUGGAACUUCAAUAUGGCAAUAGAGAAAGAAUCAAUUAGACCAGAGUCUCCUCAGGAAGACUUUCUAUAGGUGGACGGUCCCCUGGAGAGCCCGCUGUGUUGGAAGAUGUAGAAUAUUCAUAUAUCUGGUGAGCAUCUGCUAGAUGCCAGGGUUGGGGAGAGUCAAGUUGAAGCAAGCAUGAACCCUCAAGGACCUACCAUUUCAAGGCAAGAAAUAGAUACAAAUACAGCGUAAUUAUCUCUCCAAUUAAAGAGCAACCAAGGGACAACUGAACUGGAGGUUCUGCAGAAUUACAACUAAGCACGCAGCCGAGGAAUCUACUCAGCUUUGAUCUCUUAUCGCUCUGCACACACAGCCCUUUCUCUGUAAGGCUAGCUGCUCUCAGCAUCACUGUGUCUAAUCAAACGUGUCACACCUCCACUGAGAAAAUAUUUACUGGAUAGCUACUAGACAUAAGGAUGCAGAAAUGAAUUAGAAAAAUUCCUCGCCCUUGUUCAAAGCUAUGCUGGCUCUUAGAACAUCUGAGCCCCCACUGUUUCAUCUUUAGAGGAUCCCAGCUGCUGGGGUGUGAGGCCAGUGCUGGAGCCAGCAGUCUCUGACCCAGAAGGGACCUGAGGUGCUAAAGAAAAUGUCACAGAUGGAGUCCAAAAACAAAAUAACGGCCUGCUCCAUUCUGAUUCAAGUUCUCAUUUGCCUGUGCCCUGCUUUCCCAAGAGCCUAGUGACUGAUUGCAGACCCUUGAUUUCUGUGAGCUUAGACUAAUAGGUAUUGCAGGCAUACAUUCUGGGCUGAAGAUAACCAGAAAGCCAGCAACCUGAUGGGAGGAACAUUCAUUGCACAAGCUGAGAGUGAAAUGAGCUUCUACAUCAGGAUAUUUAACACAGACACAGAGAGGACGGUGCCACUGGAAGUCAUGCAGCCGCAAGUCAAGAAAUGUCAUGAGUGGCUCCUCUCCAGAAACUAGGAGAGGAGCAUGGGGCAGGUUUUCUCCUAGUGCCUUCAGAGACACAUGGCCCUGCCGACACCUUGAGUUUGGAUUUUUGGCCUCCAGAACUGGGUACAAGCUGGAAAAGGGGAAAAUGAAUCAUGCUACAGGCCAAGUGUCCAUCACUGAUUCCCAGAGAUGCCCUUUGUGUGGUAGGCACUUCCAUGUGGACUCGCUACAGAGGUCAUAAGACCCUAAUUCCAGAGGGCCCUACCCUAUAACCAGAAGGAAGAACUAUUGCACAGAGAAUCUAAGAAGAAUCUAGACAGACAGCCCUUGCUGGAUUUCUCCACUCUGUUAGCAUUCGAUCAUUUGCCUUUUGUCCAGUCAUAUUUCUGCAUGGCUGUCCAUACUUUGUUGAACCUAAGCACAAAAUGGAAAGUUUUCCCUGUAUCUUUGGGUCGUCAU